AUGUGCUGCCACAAUUUCCAGUUUCCAGCUGCUGAGCUAGGUUUGACUGGUGCAGGUGUUCAUAACCCUUAGCAAGGACUGGCAGUUCAGGAACUCCUUCCUGCAUGGUUCAGCCACAGCAGCUUCAGGGGACAACUUUGAGGAUAAGGAAAGCUUAGCAUAGUGACAAAUCCCUCCAUCCAAAUUUACCUGAAUUUGAGUCACCCCCAGCAGUUCAUGCUGCCUCGAAGGAAGCUUUGCAGCAAGGAAUAAGGAUCUGCAUCUUCCUUUCCCUUCUGGCCUGGACUUGGAGCAUGGCAUGGAAAUACUUAGCAUGAUGCAUUGAAUAAAAUAUGACCAUCCUUCUUUACUAAAGGAACGUAAAUGAUGUACCAAUGAAGCCCUGCCCUUUUCUGGCUCCCAGCCAGGCAGCAGCUCCAAAGGAGCAGGAAGAGCAAAAGGGCUGAGC
This is a long non-coding RNA of Melozone crissalis (California towhee), 448 nucleotides long. RefSeq lists it as uncharacterized. NCBI's taxonomy places the organism in Eukaryota, Metazoa, Chordata, Aves, Passeriformes, Passerellidae. The transcript is spliced from 4 exons. The record is from RefSeq and is a predicted model, not a curated record.